This 519-nucleotide long non-coding RNA is filed under the name Mytilus galloprovincialis (Mediterranean mussel). Lineage: Eukaryota; Metazoa; Mollusca; Bivalvia; Mytilida; Mytilidae. The record is from RNAcentral.
UCCUACGUAUCAGUGCGUAUGCUUUUAUUUACUAUUUCGUGCGCUAAAAUACUGCGUGCAUGCAAUAAUAUUAAUUUUACUCGUGAAAGCGGAUUUUCGUUUUUCUUUUUUAUAUUCAGGACACGGCAUGUUACUUUCAAGUACGGUCAUCGUUACUAACAGUAUUCUGACCUCUACCUGUUUCUCUUUUGUUUCAUUUUUUAAGUGCUUGUCUUAUUAUAAACUUUUGCCUUUUCGAAAAGUUAAUGAUUGUCUACCCAAGGAAUAGAUUCCUUAACUUUGUUAUUUAUUUGGCGUUUUAACUUUUUUCUUUCGAGCGUCACUGAUGCUUUUUUGUCGACUUAACUCGCGUCUGACGUUUAUAAUUUUAAUUCUGGUAUCUUUUUAUAUCUACAUACCUUUUGAUAUAAAUUGGUUAUUUUGAAAGUAUGUACUGGUAUUUAUAAAAUUUUUGAAUUAAGUUAUUCUUUGGCAAAACCAAGUUUCCCUGUAGGAUAUUUAAAUUGAUUUAAGUAAAAU